GGUUAAGUGACUAAGCGUACACGGUGGAUGCCUAGGCAGUCAGAGGCGAUGAAGGGCGUGCUAAUCUGCGAAAAGCGUCGGUAAGGUGAUAUGAACCGUUAUAACCGGCGAUACCCGAAUGGGGAAACCCAGUGUGUUUCGACACACUAUCAUGUCAUGAAUACAUAGUGGCAUGAGGCGAACCGGGGGAACUGAAACAUCUAAGUACCCCGAGGAAAAGAAAUCAACCGAGAUUCCCCCAGUAGCGGCGAGCGAACGGGGAGGAGCCCAGAACCUGAAUCGGCUUGUGUGUUAGUGGAAGCGUCUGGAAAGUCGCGCAGCAAAGGGUGAUAGCCCCGUACACUAAAAUGCACAGGUCGUGAGUUCGAUGAGUAGGGCGGGACACGUGACAUCCUGUCUGAAUAUGGGGGGACCAUCCUCCAAGGCUAAAUACUCCUGACUGACCGAUAGUGAACCAGUACCGUGAGGGAAAGGCGAAAAGAACCCCGGCGAGGGGAGUGAAAUAGAACCUGAAACCGUGUACGUACAAGCAGUGGGAGCACCUUCGUGGUGUGACUGCGUACCUUUUGUAUAAUGGGUCAGCGACUUAUAUUUUGUAGCAAGGUUAACCGUAUAGGGGAGCCGUAGGGAAACCGAGUCUUAACUGGGCGACUAGUUGCAAGGUAUAGACCCGAAACCCGGUGAUCUAGCCAUGGGCAGGUUGAAGGUUGGGUAACACUAACUGGAGGACCGAACCGACUAAUGUUGAAAAAUUAGCGGAUGACUUGUGGCUGGGGGUGAAAGGCCAAUCAAACCGGGAGAUAGCUGGUUCUCCCCGAAAGCUAUUUAGGUAGCGCCUCGUGAACUCAUCUUCGGGGGUAGAGCACUGUUUCGGCUAGGGGGCCAUCCCGGCUUACCAAACCGAUGCAAACUCCGAAUACCGAAGAAUGUUAUCACGGGAGACACACGGCGGGUGCUAACGUCCGUCGUGAAGAGGGAAACAACCCAGACCGCCAGCUAAGGUCCCAAAGUCAUGGUUAAGUGGGAAACGAUGUUGGGAAGGCAUAGACAGCCAGGAUGUUGGCUUAGAAGCAGCCAUCAUUUAAAGAAAGCGUAAUAGCUCACUGGUCGAGUCGGCCUGCGCGGAAGAUGUAACGGGGCUAAACCAUGCACCGAAGCUGCGGCAGCGACGCUUAGGCGUUGUUGGGUAGGGGAGCGUUCUGUAAGCCGUUGAAGGUGGCCUGUGAGGGUUGCUGGAGGUAUCAGAAGUGCGAAUGCUGACAUAAGUAACGAUAAAGCGGGUGAAAAGCCCGCUCGCCGGAAGACCAAGGGUUCCUGUCCAACGUUAAUCGGGGCAGGGUGAGUCGACCCCUAAGGCGAGGCUGAAAAGCGUAGUCGAUGGGAAACAGGUUAAUAUUCCUGUACUUGGUGUUACUGCGAAGGGGGGACGGAGAAGGCUAGGCUAGCCGGGCGACGGUUGUCCCGGUUUAAGCGUGUAGGGGGUGUGACCUGGUAAAUCCGGUUGCAUACUAACCCUGAGGCGUGAUGACGAUGCACUACGGUGCAGAAGUAGUUGAUGCCCUGCUUCCAGGAAAAUCCUCUAAGCUCCAGGUAACAUUAAAUCGUACCCCAAACCGACACAGGUGGUCAGGUAGAGAAUACCAAGGCGCUUGAGAGAACUCGGGUGAAGGAACUAGGCAAAAUGGUGCCGUAACUUCGGGAGAAGGCACGCUGGCAUGUAGGUGAAGUCCCUUGCGGAUGGAGCUGAAGCCAGUCGAAGAUACCAGCUGGCUGCAACUGUUUAAUAAAAACACAGCACUGUGCAAACACGAAAGUGGACGUAUACGGUGUGACGCCUGCCCGGUGCUGGAAGGUUAAUUGAUGGGGUCAGCCGCAAGGCGAAGCUCUUGAUCGAAGCCCCAGUAAACGGCGGCCGUAACUAUAACGGUCCUAAGGUAGCGAAAUUCCUUGUCGGGUAAGUUCCGACCUGCACGAAUGGCGUAAUGAUGGCCAGGCUGUCUCCACCCGAGACUCAGUGAAAUUGAACUCGCUGUGAAGAUGCAGUGUACCCGCGGCAAGACGGAAAGACCCCGUGAACCUUUACUAUAGCUUGACACUGAACAUUGAGCCUUGAUGUGUAGGAUAGGUGGGAGGCUUUGAAGCGUGGACGCCAGUCUGCGUGGAGCCAUCCUUGAAAUACCACCCUUUAAUGUUUGAUGUUCUAACUCGGCCCCGUAAUCCGGGGUGAGGACAGUGUCUGGUGGGUAGUUUGACUGGGGCGGUCUCCUCCCAAAGAGUAACGGAGGAGCACGAAGGUUAGCUAAUCACGGUCGGACAUCGUGAGGUUAGUGCAAAGGCAUAAGCUAGCUUGACUGCGAGAGUGACGGCUCGAGCAGGUACGAAAGUAGGUCUUAGUGAUCCGGUGGUUCUGAAUGGAAGGGCCAUCGCUCAACGGAUAAAAGGUACUCCGGGGAUAACAGGCUGAUACCGCCCAAGAGUUCAUAUCGACGGCGGUGUUUGGCACCUCGAUGUCGGCUCAUCACAUCCUGGGGCUGAAGUAGGUCCCAAGGGUAUGGCUGUUCGCCAUUUAAAGUGGUACGCGAGCUGGGUUUAGAACGUCGUGAGACAGUUCGGUCCCUAUCUGCCGUGGGCGUUGGAAGAUUGAGAGGGGUUGCUCCUAGUACGAGAGGACCGGAGUGAACGCACCACUGGUGUUCGGGUUGUCAUGCCAAUGGCAUUGCCCGGUAGCUAAGUGCGGAAAAGAUAAGCGCUGAAAGCAUCUAAGCGCGAAACUUGCCUCAAGAUGAGUCUUCCCUGGGCCUUCAAGGCCCCUGAAGGAACGUUUAAGACUAAGACGUUGAUAGGCUGGGUGUGUAAGUGCAGCGAUGCAUUGAGCUAACCAGUACUAAUGAUCCGUGAGGCUUAACCUU
This 2909-nucleotide ribosomal RNA is filed under the name Serratia marcescens. RNAcentral describes it as "23S ribosomal RNA". It matches the Rfam family "Bacterial large subunit ribosomal RNA". Lineage: Bacteria; Pseudomonadati; Pseudomonadota; Gammaproteobacteria; Enterobacterales; Yersiniaceae. The record is from RNAcentral.